GACGAACGCUGGCGGCGUGCUUAACACAUGCAAGUCGAACGGAAAGGCCCUGCUUUUGUGGGGUGCUCGAGUGGCGAACGGGUGAGUAACACGUGAGUAACCUGUCCUUGACUUUGGGAUAACUCUAGGAAACUGGGGAUAAUACCCGAUAUGAGCUCCUGCUGCAUGGUGGGGGUUGGAAAGUUUCGGCGGUUGGGGAUGGACUGGCGGCUUAUCAGCUUGUUUGUGGGGUAGUGGCUUACCAAGGGUUUGACGGGUAGGCGGCCUGGGAGGGUGACCGGCCACAUUGGGACUGAGAUACGGCCCAGUCUCCUACGGGAGGCAGCAGGGGGGAAUCUGGCGCAGUGGGCGGAAGCCUGAUGCGGCAACGCCGCGUGCGGGAUGACGGCCUUCGGGUUGUAAACCGCUUUCGCCUGUGACGAAGCGUGAGUGACGGUAAUGGGUAAAGAAGCACCGGCUAACUACGUG
This 468-nucleotide ribosomal RNA is filed under the name uncultured bacterium. Its description in RNAcentral is "partial 16S ribosomal RNA". It matches the Rfam family "Bacterial small subunit ribosomal RNA", at positions 28 to 507 of the family's 1533-position model. The record is from RNAcentral.